This 343-nucleotide unclassified non-coding RNA is filed under the name soil metagenome. RNAcentral's name for it is "partial contains 5.8S ribosomal RNA, internal transcribed spacer 2, and large subunit ribosomal RNA". The stretch from base 1 to 120 matches the Rfam family "5.8S ribosomal RNA", at positions 35 to 154 of the family's 154-position model. The record is from RNAcentral.
GAUGAAGAACGUAGCGAAAUGCGAUAAGUAAUGUGAAUUGCAGAAUUCAGUGAAUCAUCGAAUCUUUGAACGCACAUUGCGCCCGCUAGUAUUCUGGCGGGCAUGCCUGUCCGAGCGUCAUUUCAACCCUCAAGCCCCCGGGCUUGGUGUUGGGGAUCGGCGAGCCUCCGCGCCCGCCGUCCCCUAAAUCUAGUGGCGGUCUCGCUGUAGCUUCCUCUGCGUAGUAGCACACCUCGCACUGGGAAACCGCGCGGCCACGCCGUUAAACCCCCAACUUCUGAACGUUUGACCUCGGAUCAGGUAGGAAUACCCGCUGAACUUAAGCAUAUCAAUAAGCGGAGGA